Molecule: long non-coding RNA, 615 nt
Filed under: Brachypodium distachyon (stiff brome)
Lineage: Eukaryota; Viridiplantae; Streptophyta; Magnoliopsida; Poales; Poaceae
Description: long non-coding RNA (BDIS_LNC005826)
Source: RNAcentral
AUCAAAGACGCGGCCCAAGACUAGGCCUUCAUCGGAGCCAAAGCCCUGAGGAAACUUCUUUGGGAGCCUCCUUGAGUCUCCUCUUUUCCCUUUCUUUUCUUGUCUUCUUCUUUUCUUUCCUUGUUUCGCCUUCGGCGAUCCUGUACAAUUUUCUACCUGCUUAAUAUAUGAAAGCCAGCAUUUUAAGCUGGAUCUUUCGGAAAAAAGAGAGAAGGGGCAGCACAAGGAGGUUGGGGAGUAGGGCAGCGUACGGGGAGGUCGGGAAGAGAGAUGGAUCGCUAGGACAACGGGGAGGCAGCGAGAAGAUGGCUCGCGCGACCACGAGCCGGCGGCGGCGCGGCGGGCGUUGGGGAAGGCAGGAGAGCUAGAGAGGGGCUGCGAUGAGGGGGAAGGUGAGAAGGCGGCGGCGAUUUCUUUCUUUUCUUUUUUUGCUUCACCUGCAUGGACUGUCGAUUUUUCUCCGGGAGUAGCUGCUCGCAGGACGGAAGCCCAUGAAUAGACGGCCGGAUUAUGUCAAGCGCUUGAUCGGACGACCGAGAAGGCUGAUGGCGUGAGAGGACUUCCUAGGGUGCCCAGUUUUACUAUCCUAAAAUAGAAGACAGGCCUUCAGCACAU